Molecule: ribosomal RNA, 380 nt
Organism: Ovis aries (sheep)
Lineage: Eukaryota; Metazoa; Chordata; Mammalia; Artiodactyla; Bovidae
Rfam family: Bacterial large subunit ribosomal RNA
Source: Rfam
AAAACAAGACCCUUUGGAGCUUUAAUUAACUAACUCCCGAGAAAACUAACUAAACCACUAAGGGAUAACAAAUUUUUAUAUGGGUUGACAUUUUUGGUUGGAGUGUCCUCAGAGAAUAAAAAUAUCUCCAAAUGACUAAAGUCUAGACUUACUAGUCAAAAUAUUAUUCCUUAUUGAUCCAAAAACUGAUCAACAGAACAAGCUACCCUAGGAAUAACAGUGCAAUCCUAUUCUAGAGUUCAUAUUGACAAAAGGUCUAUGACCUCAAUGUUGGAUCAGGACACCCCAAUGGUGUAACUGCUAUUAAAAAUGUGUUUGUUCAACAAUUAAAGUCCUACAUGAUCUGAGUUCAGACCAGAGUAAUCAAGGUUGUUUUCUAU